GGUUAAGCUACUAAGAGCACACGGAGGAUGCCUAGGCGCUAGGAGCCGAUGAAGGACGUGGCGAACAACGAUACUGCCUCGGGGAGCUGUAAGCAAGCUUUGAUCCGGGGAUGUCCGAAUGGGGAAACCCAGCUGGGGUAAUAUCCAGUUACUCAUAACUGAAUACAUAGGUUAUGUAGAGGCAUACCAGGGGAACUGAAACAUCUAAGUACCUUGAGGAAGAGAAAACAAUAGUGAUUCCGUCAGUAGCGGCGAGCGAACGCGGAACAGCCCAAACCAGAGAGCUUGCUCUCUGGGGUUGUGGGACGUCUCACAUGGAGUUACAAAGGAGCCGGUUAAACGAAGAGGUCUGGAAAGGCCCGCCAAAGAAGGUAAAAGCCCUGUAAUUGAAAGUCUGCUCUCUCCGAGACGGAUCCCGAG
RNAcentral lists this ribosomal RNA (420 nucleotides) under Paenibacillus sp. 7523-1. RNAcentral's name for it is "bacterial LSU rRNA". It matches the Rfam family "Bacterial large subunit ribosomal RNA", at positions 1 to 412 of the family's 2925-position model. Lineage: Bacteria; Bacillati; Bacillota; Bacilli; Caryophanales; Paenibacillaceae. The record is from RNAcentral.